UACGUAGGGGGCUAGCGUUGUCCGGAAUCAUUGGGCGUAAAGAGCGUGUAGGCGGCUCGGUAAGUCCGCUGUGAAAGUCAGGGGGCUCAACCCUCGGAAUGCCGGUGGAUACUGUCGGAGCUAGAGUCGGCAGGAGGGGAGAUCGUGGAAUUCCUGGUGUAGCGGUGAAAUGCGCAGAUAUCAGGAGGAACACCAGUGGCGAAGGCG
This 207-nucleotide ribosomal RNA is filed under the name uncultured bacterium. Its description in RNAcentral is "partial 16S ribosomal RNA". It matches the Rfam family "Bacterial small subunit ribosomal RNA", at positions 524 to 723 of the family's 1533-position model. The record is from RNAcentral.